UACGAAGGGUGCAAACGUUGCUCGGAAUUAUUGGGCGUAAAGCGCACGUAGGCGGCUUUGCAAGUCGGAUGUGAAAUCCCUCGGCUUAACCAAGGAAGUGCAUCCGAAACUGCAGAGCUUGAGUACUUAAGAGGAUCGCGGAAUUCCCGGUGUAGAGGUGAAAUUCGUAGAUAUCAGGAGGAACACCGGUGGCGAAGGCGGGAUCCUGGGCCAGUACUGACGCUGAGGAGCGAAAGCGUGGGGAGCAAACAGG
Molecule: ribosomal RNA, 253 nt
Filed under: uncultured bacterium
Lineage: Bacteria
Description: partial 16S ribosomal RNA
Rfam family: Bacterial small subunit ribosomal RNA
Source: RNAcentral